CAGCGAGGAAAUAAAAAUGAAGGAAAUAGAUUUCUGAGAAGAUUUUUAACAGGGUUUCAAAGGAAAUACGCAGUGAUUUUAAAUCUCCCCAGGAAAACGCGAGCGUAGGGGGAAAAAACGUGCAAAAUGAUCCAACGGAUGGCCGCAUUCUAAGCAAAUGGGCCAUGGAUUCAAUCGUCGAUCCGAACUUAGCCGUUGAGUCAUAACGAAUGAAAAAUUGAAAUUUCAAAUUUCAUGGAGCGUGAAAAAGCAUGAUUAUAUAUAACUCUCAGCAUUUGUAGACCAGAGGAUGAAGAGGCAAAGCAGAGGAAAAGGUAGGAAUCAGGAAAUAACAACGGAAUGAGGGCAAAAAUCUUCUUCCAGGUGGAUGUCAUUGUUUUAAGCAGGGAAAAAGUUUGUGGAGUGGGACAUCUUAAUUCUAGGAUUGUCUGUGGGUUGUAGAAACACAGAGAAGCUGCAGUCAUUGAAGUUGACGUGUUUGGUGAGGUUGACACGAAUGAUUACAAAUGGGACCUGGGUGGCAGACAACAAGCUCACACAAUCCUUCUUUGCAACUUACUCAAUGACAGGGUGGCAGCAUGUUGCAGCAAUUGAGCAGCUUUUUGAAUUAGUAGUUUUUCAUCAAGGUGUAUUCAAAACAGCAAGAGAUGGAAUUAGACUUGCAUCAUUUAUUUAGUUAUAUUUUGGUCAAGCAUAUUGACUUGAUAGCAUUGUAACAUGUACAAAUCUGGUGUUUAAUAAAAAAAUUAUUGGAAGGGGUUAAAAACCCCUUCUAAAGGCUGAAGGGAAUAAUCACUGGCCAUGGUUAUUCCUUGAGGUCGUGUU
Molecule: RNA transcript, 825 nt
Organism: Cryptomeria japonica (Japanese cedar)
Lineage: Eukaryota; Viridiplantae; Streptophyta; Pinopsida; Cupressales; Cupressaceae
Exons: 5
Source: RefSeq, a predicted model, not a curated record